AGCAGCCGCGGUAAUUCCAGCUCCAAUAGCGUAUAUUAAAGUUGUUGCAGUUAAAAAGCUCGUAGUUGAAUUUCGGGGUUAGUAGGUCGGUCGUGCCACCGGUAUGUACUGGCUCUACUGAUCCCUCCUUCUUGUAGAACCGUAAUGCCAUUAACUUGGUGUUGCGGGGAAACAGGACUGUUACUUUGAAAAAAUUAGAGUGUUUAAAGCAGGCUAACGCUUGAAUACAUUAGCAUGGAAUAAUGAAAUAGGACGCUCGAUCCUAUUUUGUUGGUUUCUAGGAUUGACGUAAUGAUUAAUAGGGAUAGUUGGGGGCAUUAGUAUUCAAUUGUCAGAGGUGAAAUUCUUGGAUUUAUUGAAGACUAACUACUGCGAAAGCAUUUGCCAAGGAUGUUUUCAUUAAUCAAGAACGAAAGUUAGGGGAUCGAAGACGAUCAGAUACCGUCGUAGUCUUAACCAUAAACUAUGCCGACUAGGGAUCGGAUGAUGUUAAUUUUUUAAUGACUCAUUCGGCGCCUUACGGGAAACCAAAGGUU
Molecule: ribosomal RNA, 536 nt
Filed under: uncultured fungus
Lineage: Eukaryota; Fungi
Description: SSU rRNA
Rfam family: Eukaryotic small subunit ribosomal RNA
Source: RNAcentral